RNAcentral lists this ribosomal RNA (254 nucleotides) under uncultured bacterium. Its description in RNAcentral is "partial 16S ribosomal RNA". It matches the Rfam family "Bacterial small subunit ribosomal RNA", at positions 524 to 776 of the family's 1533-position model. The record is from RNAcentral.
GACAUAGGUGGCGAACGUUAUCCGGAAUUAUUGGGCGUAAAGGAUGCGUAGAUGGUCGAAUAAGUUAUUGGUCGAUGCCAAACUCAAUUUGGCGGAAGCUGGUAAUACUGUUCAGCUAGAGGGCAGGAGAGGUUGAUGGAAUUCUGUGUGGAGCGGUGAAAUGCGUUGAUCUGCAGAGGAACACCAAAAAAGGCGAAGGCAGUCAACUAGUCUGUUCCUGACAUUGAGGCAUGAAAGCGUGGGGAGCAAACCGG